UACGGAGGAUCCGAGCGUUAUCCGGAUUUAUUGGGUUUAAAGGGUGCGCAGGCGGGGGAUUAAGUCGGCGGUGAAAUUUUGCAGCUCAACUGUAAAAGUGCCUUCGAAACUGGUUUCCUUGAGUGUAGAUGAAGUAGGCGGAAUUUGUGGUGUAGCGGUGAAAUGCAUAGAUAUCACGAGGAACUCCGAUUGCGCAGGCAGCUUACUAAACUACUACUGACGCUCAGGCACGAAGGCGUGUGGAUCAAACAGGAUUAGAUACCCGGGUA
RNAcentral lists this ribosomal RNA (269 nucleotides) under uncultured prokaryote. RNAcentral's name for it is "partial 16S ribosomal RNA". It matches the Rfam family "Bacterial small subunit ribosomal RNA", at positions 524 to 792 of the family's 1533-position model. The record is from RNAcentral.